Molecule: non-coding RNA, 30 nt
Filed under: Homo sapiens (human)
Lineage: Eukaryota; Metazoa; Chordata; Mammalia; Primates; Hominidae
Source: RNAcentral
UGGCCUAGGUCAGGAGCUCAGAAGUGCCAC